This is a long non-coding RNA of Manis pentadactyla (Chinese pangolin), 6499 nucleotides long. RefSeq lists it as uncharacterized. NCBI's taxonomy places the organism in Eukaryota, Metazoa, Chordata, Mammalia, Pholidota, Manidae. The transcript is spliced from 4 exons. The record is from RefSeq and is a predicted model, not a curated record.
CUCCCCGCCGGGCUCUCCCUGCCUGUGAGGCGAAGGGAGGGUAUUGACUGUGGCCCCCAGUGUUACCAGGCGUGGGCGCUGGCGAUGCCACGGGGCUCCUCCAUUCUCAUCUGCACACCUGAUUGUGGCUCCUCUUCGGUAUUUCUCAGCUGGGACGUGCGAGUUACCUUUUGGGGAGCUCCUAACUUGUAUACAGGUGCAAGGCUCUGGAUAGACAUGCGGGCGUUUGGAAUGUCCAUGUACGGGAGCCGCUGUACCAGUUACUUGCAUGCAAAGAUCUCAUCUUUCAAAAUUUCUUCCCCCUAGCAGUUCUGAAUCUUGGGUGUGAACUUUACCAGCUUCCCAGCUAACGCUGUGCGCAGUGUGAAUUCCGUGCUCCCAGGGAUGUCUGAAGUUAAGGCCCCGUUCACAGCUCCCUUCGUCUGGGGUUCCCGCUGGGAGGCAGGUGGCUCUGAGAGUUCUGAGGGGGAGGUGAGGAGCCGUCCCACUGGAUUCUGGGUGGCUUCACCCGGGCACCCUGGAGCCCGGUGGCGGACCCACACAGAAGGCCUGGGCUUGGCCUCUAAACUGCUCCUGCAAAGUGCAGGAUGCAGAACAAAUGGUGUCUGGUCUAGGAUAUUAGUUAUCUUCAUGCAGGCGAUUCCCACACAUCCCCUGGGAAAGUCAAUUGGGGUUUCUCUGGUUUCCCUCUGGAACCUGAUCACCUGGAUAAUGUGGAGAACUAGCAGCUAGUAAACGGCCCCGCCCAUUACCAAGCCAACUGGGCUGCCGGAUAGCAGGGUGUCAGCAGCCUCUUCAGUGAUCUGUAUCCUCGCCCCCAGACCCCGACCACAUUUUAAAAUUAGAUUACACAUUGAUAACUGGCCUCCUUUUUUUUUCACAUAUCUUUUGAAUCUCUUUUAAAGAAAAACCUGCAUUUUCUUAUGCUUAUGUCCCUGUGCUUAUGUUCUGCUCAUGCCUUCACUGUGAAGCAGUUCCCACCCUCUUUACACUCUCUCCUUAUACUUCUGUUUCUCCUACAGAUCCCCCAAGCUUGUGAACCCUAUUUUAGGAGAACUUAACUGAGAGGAUUUAAACAGGGUUUGAAAAGAUUAAUAAGUUCCUUCUGAAAGUGUAAUUAAUAAUUUGCUAGAUACACGUGGACACUGACGAGAAGGGACAGAAUCUGGAAAGACCCUCCCUGGGGAAAAUGACAGUGGCCACUUUUCAGCCUCAGAGAGGAAAUAGCACAGAAUGUUUCCCAGCCUAUGUUGUUCUUCAACUGCCCUACCUUGGAUGGAUGGACACUUGUUAAAUAAAAGCAAAAGACAUUCUCAUUUCUCAAGCGGUAUAGGUUUUUGUGGGCAGGGCCCAAUUGGCUAUCUGCAGGACUUCCUUCCAGAAGUGGUGGGCAUGAAUAUGUGGAGCACAGAUGUCCCCCAAAUGAGAUGCUUAUAUAUAGCAACAGAUUCUCCAUCCUUGCAUCUUGUUGCAGAACAGCUCACGGGUUAACACGUUUCAGCAGGCACAGAAUCCUCCGUGCUUUGGAGACGUGACGUCCGACAUCUAGGCGUCCCACAGCCGUGGCUCCCUUUUGAGGCUCUGAGAAUCUGCACCUGCGCCUCUUCUGGCUCCUGCUGGAGUCCCUUGGCUAUUAGAUGCUUCACCCCAUUCUCUUCCUCUUCACAUGGCAUUUCCCUCUGUGUCUGUUUUCUUCUUUUCUGUUCUACAUAAGACAGUUGUCUUUGGGUUUAGGGCCCACCCUGACCCAGGAUGACCUUAUCUCGAGAUCCUUAACCGUAGUUACAUCUGCAAAGACCUUAACUCCAAAUAAGGCCACAUUCUGAGGUUGCAGGGGGUGGGACAUAGUCAUACCCUUUGGAGGCCACCACAGUUCAACCCACGACAGUCUGUUCUUUUGCACCCCCCCAAAUUCCUGUGUGUCACAUAUACAAAAUACAUUCACUCCAUACCAGUUGAUUAUUAAUUAAUAGUGGCUUGUGUGGGAAAAGGAAUUUUUAAAGGUGAAAGGUUGAAUUUCUGGUAUAAAGAAAAGACAGAUGCUGUGGAAGGAUGGUCAUUAAUCUUAUUUUUUUAAAGGUAAAUUUUAUUUUGAAGCUACUGUAGAGUCAUGUAACAGUUCUUUAGAAGUAAUACAGAGAGCUCCCAUGUACCCUUUACUCAGUCUGCUCAGUGGUAAUGUCUCACAAAACACAGCCUGGAUGUUGGCUUUGAUAUGAAGACACAGAACAUUCCCAUCACCACAGGAUCCUUCCUCUGGUCCCCCUUACCCCUACCUUCCUCAGCACUGUCACUGCCCCUUUGCCCCUAGUCCCUUCCAACCGCUAACUUGUUCUCCAUUUCCGCAAUUUCGUUAUUUCUAGAAUGUUCUAGAAACUGAAUGGCAUGUGACCUUUUGGGAUGGCCUUUUCCCCCUUAGCCUGAUUCUCUGUGGAGAUCCGUAACAACAGUAGUUUGUUCCUUUUCAUUGUUGUGUUCCAUGGCAUGCGUGCACCACAAGUGGUUUAACCAUUUACCCAUUGCAGAACAUCUGGGAGUUUUCCAGUUGGGGGCUCUGGUGAAUAAAGCUUCUGGGGCCAUUUGUGUCCGUGUUUCUGUGUGAGCACGUUUACAUUUCUCUGGGGUAAAUACCCAGGAGUACAAUUGUGGCAUCAUAUAGUAGUUGCAUGUUUAGUUUUAUAAGAAAGUGCCAAAUUACUCUCUCGAGUAGAUGAACUAUUUACAUCGCUGCCAGCAGUGUAUGCAUGAUACGUUUUCUCCCCACCAUCACCAGCAUUUGGUGUUGUCACUGUUCUUAAAUUUUAUCUAUUUUGAUAGGCAUGUAGUGACAUGGCAUCCUGGUUUUAAUUUGCAUUUCCCUACUGGCUAAUGAUGUUGGACAUCUUCUCUUAUGCUUAUGUGCCAUCUGUAUACCGUCUUGGGUGAAAUGUCUCUCUUGGUGUCUUUUGCCCAUAUUCUAAUUGGAUUGUUGUUGUUUUUUUUACGGUUGAGUUUUGAGAAUUCUGUACACAUUCUAUAUACUAACCGUUUGUUGGGUAUGUAAGUAUUUUUUUCCCUGUCUGAAGCUUGUUUUUUCUUCCUCAUCAGAGCAAGUGUUUCACAAGAAGCAAAUUUUACUUUUAAUAAAAUUCAGUUUAUUAGCUUUCCCUUUUAUGAAUCUUGCUUUUGGUAUCCAGUCUAAGAAAUCUUUGCCAAACACCAGAUCCAGAGUGUUUUCUUUUAUCAUUUUUUUCCCCAAGUUUUAUAGUUUUUUGUUGAAUAUAAGUCUGUGAUUCAUUUUGAGUUAAUUUGUAUAUAAGGUGUGAUGCUUGGGUGAAGGCUCAUUGUUUUGCUUGUGGAUGUCCAGUUGCUCCAACCCCAUUCAUCUAAAAGGUCAUCCUUCCUCCACUGAAUCGCGUUCCCACUUUGUCAAGUCAAUCAGACAUGUUUUUGUGGUUCUAAAACAAAAGUUUGGCCUGUAUUUACUGAGAGUAACUUCAGUUCCACAAAUAGUAAAAGAAAAUCAUCCUCCCCAAAGCAGAUUUAUUUUAACUCCCCUUAUUUGCCAACAUUAGGUUAGCCCUAAUAAUUUAUGACUUCCAAUGUGGUAAAGUCUCCAACCUUUAUGGUCUGUGUAGCUUUUGGUGUUCUUCCGUUUAUUUUUACUACAGAGGAGUUUGGGGGCCUAGGAGGUGGUUGAUAAAUGAUGAACCCAUCAGAAUCUGGAAGGGACAACAUGAAGGAACUGUCUGCCCAUGGAGGAUUUGGACCCUUUCUUCCAGUGGAGAUUUCAGAGACAGUAAAAGAGACUUUCAGAAAGGAAGGGAAGUGGGUGUUCGGCACAUGCCUUCGGCUUCCUCCCCUGUAGCUCUAGUUAAGCAUGGUGCAGGGGGAGAUCUAAAGAGGAAAUUAAAAUCUUUUGAAAACCAGAUAGUCUGACUUUUGGUAUCCCACAGUUUGGAUAAGGAUUACCGUAAAGGAAAACCAAACUCAACUACACCGUGUACAGCCCUGCACCGUUGUGCUCUGUCCACGGUACACGUUGAGCCACGGUGGCCUUCAGUUCGGAAAGAUUCAGCAGAGGAGCCCUUAAGUGCAAUGUGCUCUCCUUUAUCCAUUCAUUUUUUUUAAAAAUGGGGGAAAGCCAGCUUUGUUUUUGUGUCUCUCCCCCAGAAGAACCCGAGUCCUGGGCCAUCAUUUCUAGAAUACUGCACCUGUUACCCUUGCUCAGUAAGCAGACAUAGCAAAUGGGUGGGUUUGGUGUGCCUCGUCCAAGGACGUCCUCAUCUUGUCCCCAGACGAGGGGCUCAGUCUGCUGGGUCUGACCAUCUCAGCGUGCCCCCAGACCCUCAAGUCAAGGGGAAGUAAAGAGACCUCACUUCACUCACCACGAGGCGCUAGGAAUUCACACUCCACCUUGCAGAGGGGGCUUUCCGGCAGCACAUUCAUCAGAGCUUGCAGUUCACUUAUAUUCCUGUAACCAUUGGUCUUAUUGUAAGUUUGUAUUGAUAAGGGUGUAGCAGCAUUGCGGUUCCUGCUCUGAACUGCUUUCUAAAGGGUUUCCCAGCUCCGAACACCCCAGCCAGUGGGAGUGCAUCUGUUUUCAUGGGGUGAGGUUUUAAAGAGUUUGCUCAUUUCUGCCCCAGACACCUGCAUAGGCUCACCUGUGUCCCAGGGCUGUUGUCCCAGCCCCUGGUAGCGUGUACUUAGAUGCCAUUCCCUACCAAAGAGUGAAUUAUGGGGAUCAGGAGUGACUUGUCUUAUGAGCCACUUUUCCUGGUAGAAUAUUUAUCAGGAAAAUUAACUUCUAAGGAACGUGCCCCAAACCUGUGCUUUGCAGAGCCUGCAGGGAGUGACCUGCAGAGCCUUGCAGGGAAUGCUCAGCUCCCGGCAGCUCCUGUAUAUGCAUUGUUGGCCCUACACCUGUGUUUGUGGGGUCAUCUUGGUGCCUGGGAAGAGAAGAGGUUCCUGACGGUGCGGCAGGCAGUGUAUGUGGUUAAGAGCAUGUGUCCUGAAGCCAGCUGGCCUGAAUUUGAAGACCUCUCUUGCUUUCUAGCUGUGUGAUCUUGGGCCAAGUCACCUAGCCUACCUCUCUGUGCCCUUUUCCUGCUUUGUGAAAUGGGUAUAGUAACACUCACCCCACAGGGCUGGUUUGAGGAUUAAAUAAUGUGGUGUGUGUAAGGUCCUUAGAACACUUCCCGGCAUGUGGGGUGUUCUCCAUGUUCGUGUCAUUCAUCAUCUCUCAGUUGACCCUAAACUGGUGUAAUUUCAUGAGGAAGCACUCCUUGAGAGGGUUUCCCCAGUAAGUGCUUUGGACUCUAAAGAGAACAGCACCAAACACAUACAAUUACGAACCCAGAAGUGAGUUUUUAAAAUGUUUUUCCUAGGAAUUGAGCUUAAGGAGAUUGACACGUCACUGAGAAGUCCUGGGAGCAGGUUUAUGUUGCCGACUGAUCAAACGGAAUUAUUCUCACACAAUCUAAUUCCUGGGUUUUUCCUGGGCUUUCCUACCUUUCCAGCAGCCGCAGAUGGACCGGGAAUUCAAACCGAGGGCUUGCAUUAUGGGGGAUUUUUGUCUAGGCCUAUUUAUAAUAUUCUGGGUUUCCCCCUCCUAUGGUACACUUCCUCAAGCUGCUGAGAAGUGGGGAGGAUGCUGAAUUCUGCUCUCACGCAAAGUGGUAGACCCAGGGUGGCGGAGAGGGUGCCCAGUGGUCUGGGACAUUGGUCCAGGCAAAUGCUCCUUCUCACUCCACCUUUUAAAAACUCAGACGAAAAUGACUUGGCUGAUGAGAACUUGGGGUACCUGUGGUGAAUAAGGCACCCUCUUGGCCCAGGACAUGAGGAUUAUUCCCCAUCUUUCAAGAGAACAUUUACACUGAGGUAUACUAGGAAUGUGGUGUUGACGUCAGUAUUAGGGUCAUUUCCGUUAAAAGUGACAAGAAAACCUCAAAUAAAAACAAGAUAAUGGUUUAAAAUCUCAGUCAUUCAUCUCUCAGUUCUAUAGUCAUCUGAUUCUGGGGCACCUUUAUUCAGCUGCUCCACUACCCAUAGUUAGCAUGAUAGUAGUGCUGCACAGUGGCUGCUUGAGCUCCAGCCAUCAAGUCUUCAUUCCAGCCAACAAAUAGACUCAAGAGGGGACCCUCACUCUUUGAGGAGAUUCCAGGACGCUCCCACUUCACACUUCUUAUCGAAUUGGCCAGAACUUACUUAGCACAGGCACAGUGGGCUGCAAGGGAGCUGGGAAAUGUAGUCAUGUGCCCAGCUGAAACUCAGGGACUAAGAUUUGGGUACACGCCUAGCUAUUUCUGCCUGAGUGUGUUGUGUACUUUCGGAUGGAGUCAAGGCUGAUGGUAAGAACGUGCAGGAGAAAUAAGGGGGCUGCUGGAUGAAUUCAAGCAUUUCCUGUGGUAACCUUCUCAUGCAUGGGAGUGAGCCUCCCAGAGGCUAAGUCCUGCCGGGCUCUGGGAGUAAACUCUGAGUUGCAGUUGGUCCCUGUGCUCCAGAGGCUGUAGGUUGUUGG